AGAGUUUGAUUCUGGCUCAGGAUGAACGCUAGCGGCAGGCUUAAUACAUGCAAGUCGAGGGGCAGCAGGGGUAGCAAUACCCGCUGGCGACCGGCAAACGGGUGCGGAACACGUACGCAACUUUCCUUCAACUGAGGAAUAGCCCAGGGAAACUUGGAUUAAUACCUCGUAAUAUUAUGAAAUGGCAUCAUUUUAUAAUUAUAGCUCCGGCGGUUGAAGAUGGGCGUGCGCCUGAUUAGGUAGUUGGCGGGGUAACGGCCCACCAAGCCUACGAUCAGUAACUGGUGUGAGAGCACGACCAGUCACACGGGCACUGAGACACGGGCCCGACUCCUACGGGAGGCAGCAGUAAGGAAUAUUGGGCAAUGGACGCAAGUCUGACCCAGCCAUGCCGCGUGGAGGAUGAAGGUCCUCUGGAUUGUAAACUUCUUUUAUUUGGGAAGAAACCCAUAUUUUCUAAUGUGGUUGACGGUACCAGAUGAAUAAGCACCGGCUAACUCCGUGCCAGCAGCCGCGGUAAUACGGAGGGUGCAAGCGUUAUCCGGAUUCACUGGGUUUAAAGGGUGCGUAGGUGGGCAGGUAAGUCAGUGGUGAAAUCUCCGGGCUUAACCCGGAAACUGCCGUUGAUACUAUCUGUCUUGAAUAUCGUGGAGGUUAGCGGAAUAUGUCAUGUAGCGGUGAAAUGCUUAGAUAUGACAUAGAACACCGAUGCGAAGGCAGCUAACUACACGAUCAUUGACACUGAGGCACGAAAGCGUGGGGAGCAAACAGGAUUAGAUACCCU
RNAcentral lists this ribosomal RNA (784 nucleotides) under uncultured Bacteroidota bacterium. Its description in RNAcentral is "bacterial SSU rRNA". It matches the Rfam family "Bacterial small subunit ribosomal RNA", at positions 8 to 788 of the family's 1533-position model. Lineage: Bacteria; Pseudomonadati; Bacteroidota. The record is from RNAcentral.